This 465-nucleotide ribosomal RNA is filed under the name uncultured bacterium. RNAcentral's name for it is "partial 16S ribosomal RNA". It matches the Rfam family "Bacterial small subunit ribosomal RNA", at positions 28 to 507 of the family's 1533-position model. The record is from RNAcentral.
GACGAACGCUGGCGGCGUGCUUAACACAUGCAAGUCGAACGGAAAGGCCCUGCUUGCAGGGUACUCGAGUGGCGAACGGGUGAGUAACACGUGGGUGAUCUGCCCUGCACUUCGGGAUAAGCCUGGGAAACUGGGUCUAAUACCGGCUAGGAGCCAUUUUUAGUGUGAUGGUUGGAAAGUUUUUUCGGUGUAGGAUGAGCUCGCGGCCUAUCAGCUUGUUGGUGGGGUAAUGGCCUACCAAGGCGGCGGCGGGUAGCCGGCCUGAGAGGGUGGACGGCCACAUUGGGACCGAGAUACGGCCCAGACUCCUACGGGAGGCAGCAGGGGGGAAGAUUGCACAAGGGGCGCAAGCCUGAUGCAGCGACGCCGCGGGGGGGAUGACGGCCUUCGGGUUGUAAACUCCUUUCGCUAGGGACGAAGCUUUUUGUGACGGUACCUAGAUAAGAAGCACCGGCUAACUACGUG